UUUUUCUCUCUUCUUUUUCUCUCUCCUUCUCUAAUUUUCUAUACGGCCAAAAGGGAAAAUGGUGAGAGAUUGAGGUGACAGUGGAGAGAGCGGAACACGGUAGCCAGCCAACAAAUCUGUAUAGAAACACACUAGCGACUGGCGUACGAAGAAGACAGAGGCGACCGGUGUACAAAGAAGACCGAGGCGACGGAAGAUUCAUCUGGUUCAAAGGUGUGCUUAAAGCGUUCAUCCUAAGUAGCAUUGUUGAAAGCGUUCAUCCUCAGACAUGAGCUUUCGCAUCAUUUAUUUUCUUUUCUUGGUAGCACUGUAUUAACUCAUAUUAUCUAUGAAUAAUAUUUGUUUGUUUUC
Ipomoea nil (Japanese morning glory) is the source of this 351-nucleotide long non-coding RNA. RefSeq lists it as uncharacterized. The record is from RefSeq and is a predicted model, not a curated record. The transcript is spliced from 2 exons. Lineage: Eukaryota; Viridiplantae; Streptophyta; Magnoliopsida; Solanales; Convolvulaceae.